AGCGAGAGUAGCUCAGUGGUAGAGCGUUGCCUUGCCAAGGCAAAAGUCAAGGGUUCGAAUCCCUUUUUUCGCUA
This 74-nucleotide transfer RNA is filed under the name Chloroidium sp. UTEX 3077. RNAcentral's name for it is "tRNA-Gly". It matches the Rfam family "tRNA". From Rfam's summary of the family: Transfer RNA (tRNA) molecules are approximately 80 nucleotides in length. Their secondary structure includes four short double-helical elements and three loops (D, anti-codon, and T loops). Lineage: Eukaryota; Viridiplantae; Chlorophyta; Trebouxiophyceae; Watanabeales; Watanabeaceae. The record is from RNAcentral.